UACAGCAACGGAUUCUCAAACAAGGUCAAUUACAUUUCAAAACCGCGUAAUACGCUGAGGAACGCGAAUAAUCCCAAGUACUUCGAUGGUAAUGCUAAAAAUAUCAAAUUAUAUCGAUAUAAGUAGAGGAGCUAGGUUUAUGAGAAGUAUAUUUUCACAUCUGUGGCGGUUCGAUUAUUUAGAUAUUACUGGCUGGUAAACAUAUCAUGUGAUAAGUGACACGAUUGUAUUUACGUUUAUCAGUUUAUGAUGUUACUUCAAAUAAUAAACAUUGCAACUCUCUUGUAUUUCCUACAAAUUGGUGACCCCGACGUAAACAUGGCCAAUCCUGACGGUGACAAUUUUCAAGAUGCAGUUGGUCCAGUUGUAGCUCGCAUUAAUGUUAAAUGCCCACCAUUUUGGCGCGCCGAUCCUACAUUAUGGUUUGUUCAAGUGGAGGCACAGUUUGCGAAUGCUGGGAUUUCUGCGGAUUUAACCAAGCGAUCAGAAACCUUCCAGUCUUUUCAGAAAAAUGAAACAGUUAGCUGAUGGUCAAGCUACAGAUAAUUUCCUGAAAGGUUUAUGGCUGAAAAAAUUACCAGAAAAUGUACACACAGUUUUGGUGUCAAGAAACGAUGGUAUUGAUGAUUUACUCGAGGCAGCUGACAAAAUGGUGGAGAUUCCCAGAAAUUACAUAAAUGCUGUUUCUUCAUCGUCCUCUACUUCAACUCUGGAGCAAAAGGUUGAAUUACUGACACAGCAGGUUGGAAUACUUUUAAAAAGAGAUCAAGAUCGUUCUAGAUCUCAUUCGCGUUCACGUAAUUCAUCUAAUUCGCGAGAAAAUCGUAAUCGUAAUCGUAGUCGUAAUUAUUAUUCAAAAAAUGUUCGUAAUCGUGAACCUACACCAGCUAAAAAUAAGGAUUUUUGUUGGUAUCAUGAUAAAUUUGGAAAGAAAGCUAAAAAAUGCAUACCUCCUUGUAAAUAUGAGUCAUCGGAAAACUAGUUAGACAAAGCAUUAAUGCGGCCUCUUGCUUUGUCAAUUCAACCAAAUUUAAAAAAACUCGCCGCCUCUUUAUUUAUGAUCCUAUUUCUCAUUUUAGAUUUCUUAUUGAUCCUGGAGCAGAUGUUUCUGUACUACCAGCCUCCAUUUUCAAAGAUAAAAAGUUAGCUCCUCUUGCACUUUAUGGUGCAAAUGAUUCUCAAAUCAAAACUUAUGGUCAAAAAAUAUUACGUGUUAAUUUAAAUUUACAGCGCAAUUUUCAAUGGUCGUUUACCAUAGCUGAUAUCUCCUGCCCAAUUAUUGGAGCUGAUUUUAUUUAUCAUUUUGGUUUAUUAGUUGAUUUAAAAGGAAAUCAACUAAUUGAUUUAACUUCGAAAUGUUCUUCUAAAGGAAAGAUGUUUCAAACUGAAAAUUUUAAAGUUUCAGUGAUAUCUGAGAAGUCAUGUUAUUCUGAUCUUUUAAAAAAGUACUCCGCUAUAACCAAGGAACGAUUUUUAGAUAUUUCAAAAGUGAAACAUUCUACCACACAUUUUAUUGAAACCGAAGGCCCCCCUGUAUUCUGUUCUCCACGUCGUUUGAAUCCUGAAAAAAUGAAAAUUGCCAAAGAAACUUUUGAUUUUCUACAAAAGUUAGGUAUUUGUCGA
Molecule: long non-coding RNA, 1623 nt
Organism: Planococcus citri (citrus mealybug)
Lineage: Eukaryota; Metazoa; Arthropoda; Insecta; Hemiptera; Pseudococcidae
Exons: 2
Source: RefSeq, a predicted model, not a curated record